RNAcentral lists this ribosomal RNA (477 nucleotides) under uncultured bacterium. RNAcentral's name for it is "partial 16S ribosomal RNA". It matches the Rfam family "Bacterial small subunit ribosomal RNA", at positions 28 to 507 of the family's 1533-position model. The record is from RNAcentral.
GAUGAACGCUGGCGGCGUGCCUAAUACAUGCAAGUCGAGCGAACAGACGAGGAGCUUGCUCCUUUGACGUUAGCGGCGGACGGGUGAGUAACACGUGGAUAACCUACCUAUAAGACUGGGAUAACUUCGGGAAACCGGAGCUAAUACCGGAUAACAUGUUGAACCGCAUGGUUCAACAGUGAAAGACGGUCUUGCCGUCGCUUAUAGAUGGAUCCGCGCCGCAUUAGCUAGUUGGUAAGGUAGCGGCUUACCAAGGCAACGAUGCGUAGCCGACAGGAGAGGGGGAACGGACACAGUGGGACUGAGAGACGGACCAGACUGCGACGGGAGGCAGCAGUGGGGAAUAUGGCACAAUGGGCGGAAGCAGGAUGAAGAAACGCUGGGUGCGGGAUGACGGCCUUCGGGUUGUAAAAAGCUUUAGCCUGUGACGAAGCGUGAGUGACGGUAAUGGGUAAAGAAGCACCGGCUAACUACGUG